This 253-nucleotide ribosomal RNA is filed under the name uncultured bacterium. Its description in RNAcentral is "partial 16S ribosomal RNA". It matches the Rfam family "Bacterial small subunit ribosomal RNA", at positions 524 to 776 of the family's 1533-position model. The record is from RNAcentral.
UACGUAGGAGACGAGCGUUGUCCGGAGUUACUGGGCGUAAAGGGUGCGCAGGUGGCGGCGCGCGUGGGGGGUGAAAUCGCCCGGCUUAACUGGGCGGGGGCCUUCCAGACGGCGUGGCUGGAGCAGCGGAGGGGGACGUGGAAUUCCGGGUGGAGCGGUGGAAUGCGCAGAUAUCAGGAGGAACACCGGUGGCGAAGGCGGUUCUCUGGGCCUUACCUGACGCUGAGGAGCGAAAGCGUGGGGAGCGAACAGG